Molecule: ribosomal RNA, 253 nt
Filed under: uncultured bacterium
Lineage: Bacteria
Description: partial 16S ribosomal RNA
Rfam family: Bacterial small subunit ribosomal RNA
Source: RNAcentral
UACGUAGGGGGCAAGCGUUGUCCGGAUUUAUUGGGCGUAAAGAGCGUGUAGGCGGUCAGGUAGGUCCGUUGUGAAAACUCGAGGCUCAACCUCGAGACGCCGAUGGAAACCAUCUGACUAGAGUCCGGAAGAGGAGAGUGGAAUUCCUGGUGUAGCGGUGAAAUGCGCAGAUAUCAGGAGGAACACCGGUGGCGAAGGCGGGUCUCUGGGCCGAUAUUGACGCUGAGGAGCGAAAGCGUGGGGAGCAAACAGG